ACGAACGCUGGCGGCGUGCUUGACACAUGCAAGUCGAACGGUGAACAAGGAGCUUGCUUCUUGGGAUCAGUGGCGAACGGGUGAGUAACACGUGAGUAACCUGCCCUUGACUCUGGGAUAAGCGUUGGAAACGACGUCUAAUACCGGAUAUGACCUCCGACGGCAUCGUCUGGGGGUGGAAAGAAUUUUGGUUGAGGAUGGACUCGCGGCCUAUCAGCUUGUUGGUGGGGUAAUGGCCUACCAAGGCGACGACGGGUAGCCGACCUGAGAGGGUGACCGGCCACACUGGGACUGAGACACGGCCCAGACUCCUACGGGAGGCAGCAGUGGGGAAUAUUGCACAAUGGGCGGAAGCCUGAUGCAGCGACGCCGCGUGAGGGAUGAAGGCCUUCGGGUUGUAAACCUCUUUCAGCAGGGACGAAGCGUGAGUGACGGUACCUGCAGAAGAAGCACCGGCUAACUACGU
This 466-nucleotide ribosomal RNA is filed under the name uncultured bacterium. RNAcentral describes it as "bacterial SSU rRNA". It matches the Rfam family "Bacterial small subunit ribosomal RNA", at positions 29 to 506 of the family's 1533-position model. The record is from RNAcentral.